CCUACGGGUGGCAGCAGUGAGGAAUAGUGGUCAAUGGGCGCGAGCCUGAACCAGCCAAGUAGCGUGAAGGAGGACUGCCCUACGGGUUGUAAACUUCGUUUAUAAAGGAAUAAAGUGAGGCACGUGUGCCUUGUUGUAUGUACUUUAUGAAUAAGGAUCGGCUAACUACGUGCCAGCAGCCGCGGUAAUACGGAGGAUCCGAGCGUUAUCCGGAUUUAGUGGGUUUAAUGGGCUCGUAGAGGGUUUGUUAAGUCAGUUGUGCAAGUUUGCGGCUCAACCGGAAACUUGCAAUUAAUACUGGCAGCCUUGUGUACAGUUGAGGUAGGCGGACUUCGUGUUGUAGCGGUGA
RNAcentral lists this ribosomal RNA (349 nucleotides) under uncultured bacterium. RNAcentral's name for it is "partial 16S ribosomal RNA". It matches the Rfam family "Bacterial small subunit ribosomal RNA", at positions 338 to 684 of the family's 1533-position model. The record is from RNAcentral.